RNAcentral lists this ribosomal RNA (253 nucleotides) under uncultured bacterium. Its description in RNAcentral is "partial 16S ribosomal RNA". It matches the Rfam family "Bacterial small subunit ribosomal RNA", at positions 524 to 776 of the family's 1533-position model. The record is from RNAcentral.
UACGAAGGGGGCUAGCGUUGUUCGGAAUUACUGGGCGUAAAGAGCGUGUAGGCGGUUAGGUUAGUUAGAGGUGAAAUCCCAGAGCUCAACUCUGGAAUUGCCUUUAAUACUGCCUAACUUGAGAUCGUGAGGGGAUAGCGGAAUACCCAGUGUAGAGGUGAAAUUCGUAGAUAUUGGGUAGAACACCAGUGGCGAAGGCGGCUAUCUGGCACGAUACUGACGCUGAGACGCGAAAGCGUGGGGAGCAAACAGG